Molecule: ribosomal RNA, 467 nt
Filed under: uncultured bacterium
Lineage: Bacteria
Description: partial 16S ribosomal RNA
Rfam family: Bacterial small subunit ribosomal RNA
Source: RNAcentral
GACGAACGCUGGCGGCGUGCUUAACACAUGCAAGUCGAACGGAAAGGCCCUGCUUUUGUGGGGUGCUCGAGUGGCGAACGGGUGAGUAACACGUGAGUAACCUGCCCUUGACUUUGGGAUAACUUCAGGAAACUGGGGCUAAUACCGGAUAGGAGCUCCUGCUGCAUGGUGGGGGUUGGAAAGUUUCGGCGGUUGGGGAUGGACUCGCGGCUUAUCAGCUUGUUGGUGGGGUAGUGGCUUACCAAGGCUUUGACGGGUAGCCGGCCUGAGGGGGUGACCGGCCACAUGGGGACUGGGAUACGGCCCAGACUCCUACGGGAGGCAGCGGUGGGGAAUAUUGCACAAUGGGCGGAAGCCGGAUGCAGCAACGCCGCGUGCGGGAUGACGGCCUUCGGGUGGUAAACCGCUUUCGCCUGUGACGAAGCGUGGGUGACGGUAAUGGGUAAAGAAGCACCGGCUAACUACGU